RNAcentral lists this transfer RNA (73 nucleotides) under Candidatus Pacearchaeota archaeon. RNAcentral describes it as "tRNA-Gln". It matches the Rfam family "tRNA". From Rfam's summary of the family: Transfer RNA (tRNA) molecules are approximately 80 nucleotides in length. Their secondary structure includes four short double-helical elements and three loops (D, anti-codon, and T loops). Lineage: Archaea; Nanobdellati. The record is from RNAcentral.
AGCCCCAUAGCACAGUGGUCAAGUGUAUUCGGUUCUGGGCCGAAUGACCCAGGUUCGAAUCCUGGUGGGGCUA